UUACGUUUUUUAAUCGUUACCAAUAUAAUUUUCGUUUUAUAAAAGUUUUUUUUUAAUAUUUCGGGCGAUUUGGUAUUAUCGCGGCGCGAUUUUAUUAAUUAUAUCGUAAUUUUAACGUUUGCAAUACGCAAAUUAAUAUCGCAAUUAAAUUUAUUUUAAUUUAAUUUAUUUGGAUAAUUUUGGUUUCAACGUUUAAUAUUGCACCGUUUUUUAAAUUUUUUCGCCGCAAAUAUUUAAAUUUAUAGCCGAUUUUAUUUAGGGCGGUUUUUUUUAAUAUAAUAGCGAUAAUAAUUUUGAAAAUUGUAUAUUUUCCCCCGAAAAUUAAACCAAAUUAAAAACGUUUAACCAAAGUUUUUUUGUUUUUUUUAAAAAUUGGAAUUUUUUGGACAAAGACCGGAAAAUAAAUUAAUUUUUUAAUUUUAAAUUAAAUUUGUACUAAUUUUUUCUAAAGUUUUUUUACAAACGUUUUUACGGAAAUAACGACCUAAUAACGUAAUAAAUAAAAAAACGAAAGGAUCGCCGUAUUGCCGUUCGCGAAAAAAAACAACGGAUAUAAACCGUUAUUAAAUUUGCACGAUAAAUUAUAAAAUUAAAUUUUAUUUUUGGUUAAAUCGGCGCGAAAUUAACCAAAUUGGUUAUUAAUUUGCCAACGUUAAUUUUAAUACGGCGAAACGCGUUGCAAAACGCGUUACCGAAAAUUAUUACUAAUUUUAUAUUAUAUUAAUAAUAAAUAAUAAAAAUUAUAACGAUUUAAUUUAUUAUAAUUAUAAAAAGAAUUUAAUUAAAAACGGCAAAUUAAAAUGUUGGAAUUACGGUUAUAAAUAUCGCAAAUGCGAAAUAGUAUAAACGGAGCAAAUUUCCUUUUUUAACCGCGAUUUUUUAUUAAUUAAUUAAAUUUUCCAAUUUUCGUUUUAUAAUUAUCGUUUUUAUUAUUAUUCGUUAAAAUAAAAAUACCAAAAUACGUUACAAAUUUUUUAUUAAUAAUUGCGUUUAUUUUGUGGUUAAUUUUCCUCAAAUUUAGCAAAAUUUCCGCGAUAAUAUAAUUGGAAUUACGGCCGCGAAAAUUAAUAUUUUUUCGAUAAUUUGCGCAAAAGGUUUAAUUGCCCGUAUAAUUAAAAAAAAUUAAAACGCGUAUUUUAAAAAGAUUUUGCGGAAAAAAAAUACCUAUUGCGGUUUAAUAAUAAUAACGGUCGAAUUUAUAUAAUCUUUUUUAUUUUUUCGGACGUUUUAUAUAUUUU
RNAcentral lists this small RNA (1238 nucleotides) under Pyricularia oryzae. RNAcentral's name for it is "Magnaporthe oryzae sRNA M_BR32_EuGene_00098731". Lineage: Eukaryota; Fungi; Ascomycota; Sordariomycetes; Magnaporthales; Pyriculariaceae. The record is from RNAcentral.